RNAcentral lists this ribosomal RNA (253 nucleotides) under uncultured bacterium. Its description in RNAcentral is "partial 16S ribosomal RNA". It matches the Rfam family "Bacterial small subunit ribosomal RNA", at positions 524 to 776 of the family's 1533-position model. The record is from RNAcentral.
UACGUAGGGUGCAAGCGUUGUCCGGAAUUAUUGGGCGUAAAGAGCUCGUAGGCGGUCUGUCGCGUCUGCUGUGAAAACUCGGGGCUUAACCCCGGGCCUGCAGUGGGUACGGGCAGACUAGAGUGCGGUAGGGGAGACUGGAAUUCCUGGUGUAGCGGUGAAAUGCGCAGAUAUCGGGAGGAACACCGGUGGCGAAGGCGGGUCUCUGGGCCGUAACUGACGCUGAGGAGCGAAAGCGUGGGGAGCGAACAGG